ACCUAUUUAAAUAUCCUUAAAAUAUCAGUGACUUCCCUUCUUCUCUUUCCAGGGUUCAUUUUGCAUAUCUUAAAUCCCUGAAUAUUUUACAUUAACUAAACUAUUCAGUAUUCCAUUAUUACAUCCAUCAAAACUUAUUUACACUGUGUUAGAAACUUUUAGGGUUGUGAGAUAUUAAUAUAUAAUGCUUUUAAAACAUGUAACAUAACUCCUUUUGUUUUGGGGAGUGAAGUAUGGUAAGCUGUCUUUUUAGCUCUGUUGAAUUGAAAAGUUACCAUAAAUUGUGAGCUUUGCAGAGCAGAAUGCAUCAACUUCAGUAAGAAAUAGUUCAGGUAUGCAGGGUAACCAGAGCAUAAUAGUUACAUCUGUGUGUUGGUUUGUAUGUGACUGGAUUUUGCUGGCUAAGAAACAGAGCCUGAGUGCCCAAACUGCAACCCAAAACCCACUUAUUUGUUGCAAUGUGCCAACACUGCAAUUUAACCUGUAUAUCUCAUUUUUUAUGUGUGUUUCACAUUUCUUUGUUAUGACUGCUGUUGUAAUAAAUAAUCCUUCAUAAAAGUUAUUGCAUUAUAUUCUUCAUUAAAUUAUCUUUCCAUUGAGAUAUAAUUUUAUGGUAUAACUCAAUGCUUUUUUUCCUAAAAAGAAAUGUUUAGGGGUACUCUCAUUUUGACUCAAGAAAAUCACCACAGGGGG
Podarcis raffonei (Aeolian wall lizard) is the source of this 693-nucleotide long non-coding RNA. RefSeq lists it as uncharacterized. The transcript is spliced from 2 exons. The record is from RefSeq and is a predicted model, not a curated record. NCBI's taxonomy places the organism in Eukaryota, Metazoa, Chordata, Lepidosauria, Squamata, Lacertidae.